Molecule: small nucleolar RNA, 130 nt
Organism: Gouania willdenowi (blunt-snouted clingfish)
Lineage: Eukaryota; Metazoa; Chordata; Actinopteri; Blenniiformes; Gobiesocidae
Gene: SNORA71
Rfam family: Small nucleolar RNA SNORA71
About the family: The members of this family belong to the H/ACA class of snoRNAs which bind a number of proteins (including dyskerin, Gar1p and Nop10p) to form snoRNP complexes. This class of snoRNAs are thought to guide the sites of modification of uridines to pseudouridines by forming direct base pairing interactions with substrate RNAs.
Source: Ensembl
CCCUGUAUCGAAAGGUGAUCAUGGCGUCCUCAUCGCCUGGUCAUUAUUUUACUACAGGAAAAGGAAACUGCGAACCUUUCCCUGUGUUUGCAGGACAUCACUUCCUGUUAAACCCUGGUGCUCGCAUACA